GUCCUAGCUUUGAUAGUACAUAUACUGAAAUUGGCAUGAUACAGAGAAGAUUAGCAUGGCCCCUGCUCAAGGAUUACACACAAAUUCAUGAAGUGUACCAUAUUUUU
RNAcentral lists this small nuclear RNA (107 nucleotides) under Erinaceus europaeus (western European hedgehog). The record is from RNAcentral. Lineage: Eukaryota; Metazoa; Chordata; Mammalia; Eulipotyphla; Erinaceidae.